CCUAAGGUAGCGAAAUUCCUUGUCGGGUAAGUUCCGACCUGCACGAAUGGCGUAAUGAUGGCCAGGCUGUCUCCACCCGAGACUCAGUGAAAUUGAACUCGCUGUGAAGAUGCAGUGUACCCGCGGCAAGACGGAAAGACCCCGUGAACCUUUACUAUAGCUUGACACUGAACAUUGAGCCUUGAUGUGUAGGAUAGGUGGGAGGCUUUGAAGUGUGGACGCCAGUCUGCAUGGAGCCGACCUUGAAAUACCACCCUUUAAUGUUUGAUGUUCUAACGUUGACCCGUAAUCCGGGUUGCGGACAGUGUCUGGUGGGUAGUUUGACUGGGGCGGUCUCCUCCUAAAGAGUAACGGAGGAGCACGAAGGUUGGCUAAUCCUGGUCGGACAUCAGGAGGUUAGUGCAAUGGCAUAAGCCAGCUUGACUGCGAGCGUGACGGCGCGAGCAGGUGCGAAAGCAGGUCAUAGUGAUCCGGUGGUUCUGAAUGGAAGGGCCAUCGCUCAACGGAUAAAAGGUACUCUGGGGAUAACAGGCUGAUACCGCCCAAGAGUUCAUAUCGACGGCGGUGUUUGGCACCUCGAUGUCGGCUCAUCACAUCCUGGGGCUGUAGCCGGUCCCAAGGGUAUGGCUGUUCGCCAUUUAAAGUGGUACGCGAGCUGGGUUUAGAACGUCGUGAGACAGUUCGGUCCCUAUCUGCCGUGGGCGCUGGAGAACUGAGGGGGGCUGCUCCUAGUACGAGAGGACCGGAGUGGACGCAUCACUGGUGUUCGGGUUGUCAUGCCAAUGGCACUGCCCGGUAGCUAAAUGCGGAAGAGAUAAGUGCUGAAAGCAUCUAAGCACGAAACUUGCCCCGAGAUGAGUUCUCCCUGACCCUUUAAGGGUCCUGAAGGAACGUUGAAGACGACGACGUUGAUAGGCCGGGUGUGUAAGCGCAGCGAUGCGUUGAGCUAACCGGUACUAAUGAACCGUGAGGCUUAACCUU
This 981-nucleotide ribosomal RNA is filed under the name sediment metagenome. RNAcentral describes it as "bacterial LSU rRNA". It matches the Rfam family "Bacterial large subunit ribosomal RNA", at positions 1950 to 2925 of the family's 2925-position model. The record is from RNAcentral.